UUGGAACGGAGCUAGAGAAGCCACAGGAACACAAAUUGGCGGAGGAUCUGAACAGGCAUCAUUGAGGUUGAACCUCGAAAAUAUUGAACAUCCAUGAUUUGGGGUGAAGGAAAGUGAGCACAGGCCGUCCAUGGCCUGAGAAGCAAUGGACUCCAGUGAGAACUGGUCGGAGAAGACGAUAGAGGCGGCUAGGGUUUCGAGUGUUGGAGAGUGUUUGAGAAAAGGGGAGGGUUCAGAAGCGGCUACAUGAGAGAAAUGAGAUUAGGG
RNAcentral lists this long non-coding RNA (267 nucleotides) under Nicotiana benthamiana. RNAcentral's name for it is "long non-coding RNA (NBEN_LNC013839)". The record is from RNAcentral. Lineage: Eukaryota; Viridiplantae; Streptophyta; Magnoliopsida; Solanales; Solanaceae.